CGCGGCCUAUCAGCUUGUUGGUGAGGUAACGGCCUACCAAGGCAUCGACGGGUAGCCGGCCUGAGAGGGUGAUCGGCCACACUGGGACUGAGACACGGCCCAGACUCCUACGGGAGGCAGCAGUGGGGAAUAUUGCACAAUGGGCGAAAGCCUGAUGCAGCGACGCCGCGUGAGGGGUGACGGCCUUCGGGUUGUAAACCUCUUUCAGCAGGGACGAAGCGCAAGUGACGGUACCUGCAGAAGAAGCACCGGCUAACUACGUGCCAGCAGCCGCGGUAAUACGUAGGGCGCAAGCGUUGUCCGGAAUUAUUGGGCGUAAAGAGCUCGUAGGCGGUUUGUCGCGUCUGCCGUGAAAGUCCGGGGCUCAACUCCGGAUCUGCGGUGGGUACGGGCAGACUAGAGUGAUGUAGGGGAGACUGGAAUUCCUGGUGUAGCGGUGAAAUGCGCAGAUAUCAGGAGGAACACCGGUGGCGAAGGCGGAUCUCUGGGCCGAUACUGACGCUGAGGAGCGAAAGCGUGGGGAGCGAACAGGAUUAGAUACCCUGGUAGUCCACACCGUAAACGUUGGGCGCUAGGUGUGGGACUCAUUCCACGAGUUCCGUGCCGCAGCUAACGCAUUAAGUGCCCCGCCUGGGGAGUACGG
Molecule: ribosomal RNA, 643 nt
Filed under: uncultured Actinomycetes bacterium
Lineage: Bacteria; Bacillati; Actinomycetota; Actinomycetes
Description: bacterial SSU rRNA
Rfam family: Bacterial small subunit ribosomal RNA
Source: RNAcentral